RNAcentral lists this ribosomal RNA (485 nucleotides) under uncultured bacterium. RNAcentral describes it as "bacterial SSU rRNA". It matches the Rfam family "Bacterial small subunit ribosomal RNA", at positions 28 to 507 of the family's 1533-position model. The record is from RNAcentral.
GAUGAACGCUGGCGGCGUGCUUAACACAUGCAAGUCGAACGAAGAGGUAUUGAAUGAGAGCUUCGGCAGGACUUUGAUAAAUCUUAGUGGCGGACGGGUGAGUAACGUGUGGGCAACCUGCCUUAUACUGGGGAAUAAUCACUGGAAACGGUGACUAAUACCGCAUAAUGUCUUUUUACGGCAUCGUAAGAAGAAGAAAGGAGCAAUCCGGUAAAAGAUGGGCCCGCAUCUGAUUAGCUAGUUGGUGAGAUAACAGCCCACCAAGGCGACGAUCAGUAGCCGACCUGAGAGGGUGAUCGGCCACAUUGGGACUGAGACACGGCCCAAACUCCUACGGGAGGCAGCAGUGGGGAAUAUUGCACAAUGGGGGAAACCCUGAUGCAGCAACGCCGCGUGAAGGAAGAAGGUUUUCGGAUCGUAAACUUCUAUCAACAGGGACGAAGAAAGUGACGGUACCUGAAUAAGAAGCCCCGGCUAACUACGUG